ACUCCUACGGGAGGCAGCAGUGGGGAAUAUUGCGCAAUGGGGGAAACCCUGACGCAGCAACGCCGCGUGUGUGAUGAAGGCCUUCGGGUCGUAAAGCACUGUGAGGUGGAACGAGCCGCCGGGGGCUAAUACCCUUCGGCCCGACGGUACCACCAGAGGAAGCACCGGCUAACCCUGUGCCAGCAGCCGCGGUAAU
This 196-nucleotide ribosomal RNA is filed under the name uncultured bacterium. Its description in RNAcentral is "partial 16S ribosomal RNA". It matches the Rfam family "Bacterial small subunit ribosomal RNA", at positions 335 to 524 of the family's 1533-position model. The record is from RNAcentral.